GACGAACGCUGGCGGCGUGCUUAACACAUGCCAGUCGAACGAUGAAGCGGGUGCUUGCACUCGUGGAUUAGUGGCGAACGGGCGAGUAACACGUGAGUAACCUGUCCUUUUCUUUGGGAUAACGGCUGGAAACGGCUGCUAAUACUGGAUAUUCAGGCUGCAUCGCAUGGUGUGGUUUGGAAAGGUUUUUUCUGGGAUUGGGUGGGCUCGCGGCCUAUCAGCUUGUUGGUGGGGUGAUGGCUUACCAAGGCUUUGACGGGUAGCCGGCCUGAGAGGGUGGUCGGUCGCACUGGGACUGGGAUACGGCCCAGACUCCGACGGGAGGCAGCAGUGGGGAAUAUUGCACAAUGGACGAAAGUUUGAUGCAGCGACGCCGCGUGGAGGGUGUAGGCCUUCGGGUUGUGAACUCCUUUUUCUCGCGAAAAAGGCACAGUUUUGGCUGUGUUGAUGGUAGUGGGGGAAGAAGCGCCGGCUAACUACGUG
This 483-nucleotide ribosomal RNA is filed under the name uncultured bacterium. Its description in RNAcentral is "partial 16S ribosomal RNA". It matches the Rfam family "Bacterial small subunit ribosomal RNA", at positions 28 to 507 of the family's 1533-position model. The record is from RNAcentral.